AUGACCAGGUUGAAGUUCAGGUAACACUGAAUGGAGGACCGAACCGACUUACGUUGAAAAGUGAGCGGAUGAGUUGUGGGUAGCGGAGAAAUUCCAAUCGAACCUGGAGAUAGCUGGUUCUCUCCGAAAUAGCUUUAGGGCUAGCCUCAAGUGAUGAUUAUUGGAGGUAGAGCACUGUUUGGACGAGGGGCCCUUAUCGGGUUACCGAAUUCAGACAAACUCCGAAUGCCAAUCAAUUUAACUUGGGAGUCAGAACGCGGGUGAUAAGGUCCGUGUUCGAAAGGGAAACAGCCCAGACCACCAGCUAAGGUCCCAAAAUAUAUGUUAAGUGGAAAAGGAUGUGGCGUUGCCCAGACAACUAGGAUGUUGGCUUAGAAGCAGCCAUCAUUUAAAGAGUGCGUAAUAGCUCACUAGUCGAGUGACACUGCGCCGAAAAUGUACCGGGGCUAAACAUAUUACCGAAGCUGUGGAUUGUCCGUAAGGACAAUGGUAGGAGAGCGUUCUAAGGGCGUUGAAGCAUGAUCGCAAGGACAUGUGGAGCGCUUAGAAGUGAGAAUGCCGGUGUGAGUAGCGAAAGACGGGUGAG
Molecule: ribosomal RNA, 586 nt
Filed under: Staphylococcus saprophyticus
Lineage: Bacteria; Bacillati; Bacillota; Bacilli; Caryophanales; Staphylococcaceae
Description: partial 23S ribosomal RNA
Rfam family: Bacterial large subunit ribosomal RNA
Source: RNAcentral